Molecule: unclassified non-coding RNA, 343 nt
Filed under: soil metagenome
Description: partial contains 5.8S ribosomal RNA, internal transcribed spacer 2, and large subunit ribosomal RNA
Rfam family: 5.8S ribosomal RNA (bases 1-120)
Source: RNAcentral
GAUGAAGAACGCAGCGAAAUGCGAUAAGUAAUGUGAAUUGCAGAAUUCAGUGAAUCAUCGAAUCUUUGAACGCACAUUGCGCCCGCUAGUAUUCUGGCGGGCAUGCCUGUCCGAGCGUCAUUUCAACCCUCAAGCCCCCGGGCUUGGUGUUGGGGAUCGGCGAGCCUCCGCGCCCGCCGUCCCCUAAAUCUAGUGGCGGUCUCGCUGUGGCUUCCUCUGCGUAGUAGCACACCUCGCACUGGGAAACAGCGCGGCCACGCCGUUAAACCCCCAACUUCUGAACGUUUGACCUCGGAUGAGGUAGGAAUACCCGCUGAACUUAAGCAUAUCAAUAAGCGGAGGA